RNAcentral lists this ribosomal RNA (247 nucleotides) under uncultured bacterium. RNAcentral's name for it is "partial 16S ribosomal RNA". It matches the Rfam family "Bacterial small subunit ribosomal RNA", at positions 524 to 770 of the family's 1533-position model. The record is from RNAcentral.
UACGUAGGAGGCAAGCGUUUGUCCGGAAUUACUGGGCGUAAAGCGCGUGUAGGUGGUGGGACAAGUCUGCUGUGAAAGCGCCUGGCUUAACCGGGCGAGGUCGUCGUGAACCGGGGGCUUGAGGCCGGUAGAGGUGGGUGGAACUCCUGGUGGAGUGGUGAAAUGCGUAGAGAUCAGGAAGAACACCCGUGGCGAAGGCGGCCCACUGGGCCGGUACUGACGCUGAGGCACGAAGGCGUGGGGAGCG